UAGCAUAAUCAUUAGUCUUUUAAUUGGAGGCUUGUAUGAAUGGUUGGACAAAAAGCAAACUGUCUCAAUUAUAAUAAUUGAAUUUAACUUUUAAGUGAAAAGGCUUAAAUAAACUGGGGGGACGAUAAGACCCUAUAAAGCUUUACAAUUAUUUAAUUAAAUUAUAAAUUGUUAGUAUAACUUAAUUUAAUUGAUAUUUGUUUCGUUGGGGCGACGAGAAUAUAAUUUUAAGUAACUGUUCUUUUAUGGUUAAUUACAGAUUUAUUUGGGUAAAAAUUGAUCCUUUAUUAGAGAUUAAAAGAUUAAGUUACUUUAGGGAUAACAGCGUAAUCUUCUUUGAGAGUUCAUAUCGACAAGAGGGGUU
Molecule: ribosomal RNA, 364 nt
Filed under: Parapenaeus longirostris
Lineage: Eukaryota; Metazoa; Arthropoda; Malacostraca; Decapoda; Penaeidae
Description: partial 16S ribosomal RNA
Rfam family: Bacterial large subunit ribosomal RNA
Source: RNAcentral